This is a long non-coding RNA of Symsagittifera roscoffensis, 1442 nucleotides long. RefSeq lists it as uncharacterized. Lineage: Eukaryota; Metazoa; Xenacoelomorpha; Acoela; Convolutidae. The transcript is spliced from 2 exons. The record is from RefSeq and is a predicted model, not a curated record.
UUUGAUAUGGACUGCGCUAUUUGUACUGAUGCAAUAGAAGACCCCAGGGCGUUACCUUGUGGACAUUCUUUUUGCGGUCCUCCGAAAACCUGUCUUCAGACAAUGGGAAAAAGUGCUGACUUAAUAACUUGCGCGCUCUGUGGAACUUCGCAUAAGUUGUUGAUCUCAAGUUUGAAUCCUUUGUAUGGUAUCAAAGACUGUUUGGCGAAUCAUCAAAAACUUCAGGAAGAGCUAGAGAAAACGAAAGCAGAGAACCGUUCGCUUCGAAAGCAAUUGCUGUUCAAGCCACCGAAGUGCACAAGAUCCAGUUUUUUCUGCGGCUCUGUCGCUUUCUGGUGUAACGAUUGCAAAGGUUCUUUCUGUGAUGAUUGUAUGAUAGUAUAUCACAAUCGUCAUUCGGUAUGCACGUUCAGGAGACAUUUACAGAACCUUGUUCGAGAGAAAAUUGAUGGCAAGAGCAAGUCUCAGUUGGAUGCUUUUGUUAUUACAGGUGAAGAGGUGACAAGUGCAUUGAGCUCACGAAUAGAACACCUCAAAGAUGAACUGAAUAGCUGUCAAUCAAAUCUACAGCAAGUCCAAGAAUCUGUUGAAGCUAACAAAACCAUAUCAAGCAUUUACGGUGAAAUUUCAAACUUUGCCAAAGGGACCGGAGAAUGCUCGUAUGCAGACAUUCAAUAUUUCCUGGCCUACUUUAUGACACCAAAAUUACCCAUAAUUGCCGCUAAUUUAGAAAGCACUGCACUGACAAGAGUCGUGAAACCGACGCUAACAAAGAGCGAAAUUAAGAAAGUCCCGUUAUCUGCAGAGCCGAUCACUUUCUCUGAGACUUUUGCGGGUGUUAAAAACAAGGCAAUGGGCGAGAGAAUUUAUUGGUCCGAUGAAAAAUCUUUUUGUGAUCAAAAAUUUUGGGUUGGUUACUCUCUAAAACUGUCCAAUAGUUCGAUAUCCGCUUCAAAGGCAAUUCAAGUGUAUAUACACAAGAAGCAUGCGGAAUCAGUGAAAUCGAAAAAUAUCUUCAAAAUAACAACGACGAUUGUUAAUCAUUCUUCUAAACCAAAGCUCAAUCAAAUUGCUGUAGUCGAAAUGCAGAAACAGUCUACGAUAGAAGUAGUCGAAGUAUUAUGGUCAUACCUGAUGGACAAAAGUCCGAACAAGAAAAAAGAAACCAACGAGUAUUUCAACCGGCACGACGAACUUGUUAUAUCCUGCAAAUUGGAACUGAUAAACUAAAUCUCCGCUGAAUUAGGUGAUAGUUUGAAUAUAUGUAUUCUUUGGAAAAAACUUAAUAUAUGUUUAUUUGGUCAGAUUGUCUUAGUUGCGAAGUGAUCGGCUCGACUCAUUUUGGCUACUCGAAAUUUGGCUCCUCUUUUUGCCACUUUUUCAAGCCUACUUUGGCUAGUUUUGGCUAUCCUAAAGUUUUCUUAAUUCACCGUUUACGUCAA